Molecule: ribosomal RNA, 365 nt
Filed under: Anamiopteryx tuberculata
Lineage: Eukaryota; Metazoa; Arthropoda; Insecta; Mantodea; Thespidae
Description: partial 12S ribosomal RNA
Source: RNAcentral
ACCCUAUUAUUUUUAAUGUAAUAUUUUAACCUUAGUAGUAUUAGUUAAGAUCUUUAAACUUAAAGAAUUUGGCGGUACUUUAGUCUAUUUAGGGGAAUCUGUUAAUUAAUCGAUAAUCCUCGUUGAAUCUUACUUUUAUAAAUUCUUGUAUAUCGCUGUUUAUGAAUAUAUUUUUAGAUUAUUUUCUUAAUUGUUUAUUAUUAAAUAUUUCAAGUCAAGGUGCAGUUAUAUUAAAGUUGAAUAAUGGAUUACAAUAAAUAUUAUUUAUAUGGAUAGUUUUUUAUAAUUGGUUUGAAGGUGGACUUAAAUGUAAUUUUAUGAAGACUGUUAAAAUGAUUUAAAGCUCUAUGGUAUGUACACAUCGC